UGCCAGCCGCCGCGGUAACACGUAGGGGGCGAGCGUUAUUCGGAAUUAUUGGGCGUAAAGCGUGCGUAGGUGGUUACUUAAGUCAGAUGUGAAAGCCCAGGGCUUAACCUUGGAAUUGCAUCUGAUACUGGCAAACUUGAGACUGUCAGAGGCAAGUGGAAUUCCCGGUGUAGUGGUGAAAUGCGUAGAUAUCGGGAGGAACACCAGUGGCGAAGGCGGCUUCCUGGAUUCAUACUGACGCUGAGGCACGAAAGCAUGGGGAGCAAACAGGAUUAGAUA
This 279-nucleotide ribosomal RNA is filed under the name uncultured bacterium. RNAcentral's name for it is "partial 16S ribosomal RNA". It matches the Rfam family "Bacterial small subunit ribosomal RNA", at positions 506 to 784 of the family's 1533-position model. The record is from RNAcentral.